AUAAGUUCCUGCCACGGCAGGCAACCCCCUGGCUUCCCUUCUCUCGCGGGCAGCCUGUGGGGCACUGGCUUGGCAGCCUAUCACAGAACAUAAGAACUCUUGGUUUCCCUGAAGCAGGCUUUGAAACACAUUCUGUCAGCUUCUGGAAGCAUCUGUGGUGAGUAAGGUGGGCAGUGGAGUCAAGACGUUUGGCUGUGCUUGUAGGAGGAAGCUGCCACCUUCCUGAGGACUUACGGUAUGCAGACCGCCUCUCUCUGCCUGAACCUGUUUUCUGCUGAGAUCUAGAGUGAUGAAGACGAAGUGCACCACUUCAGGCCUGUGAUUGUGACUGCCAGCCAUCUGCUAGCCUGCAGCUUCCUCUUUCCCUCUGUUCAUCCUGACUGCAGCACCCCAGCACCAGAAGGGGACACAUUAUGGCCAUUGUGACCAGCUGAUGUCUCUGGGGCCUGAGUUAUCCAGCCAGCUGUGUGUACUCAGCCACAGCAUGUGGCCAGGCGGUUGCUCAGUGGUGGUCAGCUGCGCUCCACUUCCCUCCCUCGCACACCUGCUCAGGUGUGAAGCUCUUCUUCCUGCCACAGGGGCCACAAUCACACUCAGCUGCCUUCUGCUUCUCAGAGCCCAGAGUCGCUUUUGGCCGCAAUGCAGCCACACCCAUGGGGUCAAAGUCCUACCCGAGAGCCCCUCGGCCUUCGUCCCCAGCAGGACCCCAUCCAUGACCACCAACACCCUGGGCCACUGGCCCCCAGCCUGUGUGUCCACACUGGGAAGAGGCUCCAGCUGGGUCAGGGGUUUGGGGGCUGCUGCAGGACAUAUCACCCCCAUCCCCGGCAAGGGGCUCAGCCUUGAGGCCCUCAGGUUUGUCUCCAGCCCCCCAUCAAGUCCAGGGACGGGCUUCAGAGAGC
This 902-nucleotide long non-coding RNA is filed under the name Heterocephalus glaber (naked mole-rat). RNAcentral's name for it is "lncRNA (ENSHGLG00000050566.1)". The record is from RNAcentral. Lineage: Eukaryota; Metazoa; Chordata; Mammalia; Rodentia; Bathyergidae.